RNAcentral lists this long non-coding RNA (1422 nucleotides) under Parus major (Great Tit). Its description in RNAcentral is "lncRNA (ENSPMJG00000011510.1)". The record is from RNAcentral. Lineage: Eukaryota; Metazoa; Chordata; Aves; Passeriformes; Paridae.
GGUAUGUCUUCUGAAGUACUAGGUACUCUUCUGGAUGCCAUUUGCCUUGGCGGUAGAGUUCACCCUUGAGCCAUGUUUUAAAAUGUAAAAAUAUGCAUAGAGAGAGGGAUAACAGGUAUCUGAGAAUAUCUGUAGACCUUUACGUGAAGAAUCUUCUGCACUGACAUUUCUUACAGGGUGGCUGGAAAAAAUCACAUCCCUCUUUCCACUCUGUCACUGACAGGUGUUGCAUAUUAUGAAACUAAAUAUCUAAGUGCUUAACACUGUGUAGGGAUUCUAGACUAUGACAUGCAUUCCUAGCAUCCAAUGUCUAAAGCUUUUUAUAGUUCCUGCCUGGUGUGUGUCUCUGGAGCCAAAAGGAAGGUUAAGUGGUUUUGCUUCCUCUGAUAUCAGACAAAGCUUUCAGUGAACAACUUUCAGGGCUUGUAUUCAAAGGAUAUCUGAGAUGGGACCUUGCAUGACCAGACUAGCAGGAGUGGGUUUGCUGUCCUGGUGUAUUUCUGCAGGGCAGUGCCCUGCAAAGCUGAGUAGGAAGGUUCAGCACUGCCCUGUCACAGCUUGGCUGAGCAGUGAUUAGGUUUUCAUUCCCAAAUGUGUCAUCUGUGAGAUUUGCAGGCCAUUUCCUUGAUAUAAGGGGGAAACUAGAGGAAAGUUGUGAUUAAACUGCUGAAGUGAUUGAUGUAGGCAGUUGCUGUGAUCCUGGCCCAUGGCCAACAUCACUGGGAAGCUGCAGUGCCUGGAAGCACAGGAAGCACAGGGAUAUGGAGCAAACAGUGACAAUCUGCCAAUUUCAUCUGUGAAUGUAUGGACUCAGGAGACAGGCUAUCAUCUCUUGGAGGAAGCAGUUAUGGGACAGUGUGUGUCAGCUGGAAGAUGAAGGGCCCUGUGCUCCUUUAAAGAGCUGUGGAAAAUUUGCAUCAUUUGCAUAUCCUGAGGAUAUUGCAGGGCGCAGGAGUGUGUCUGAACUGGCCACAACACGUGUGAGAAUAAACCCCUUUUCCAUUUCUCCAAGUUCUUCUGAAAUGCUUGUUUGGCAGUUGUUGAGAAGACAGAAGAAGAAGGCCCAGGUGGAGAACUUCCCUGUGUAGUACUUCCACUGGCUUGCAUUUUCCUUGCUCUUGCUCCACACUAUGGGCUAGGUACAACGCAAAUCAAGAUGCUGGAUGUUAGCUACGCGGUUUUGGAGGGUACCCAGUCAUAAAGAACUUGAUGCAAGAUGAAGUUUUCAUUUUGAAUGCUUAAAAGUGAGCUUUUCAAGACUUUUGUGUGUAAAUACAGGGAAGCCUAUACAAGAAAGCGCCUCAAUUAAAACCCUUCUUUUAAUUGACAGUCUCAAAUAGAGGAAGCUUGAUUUCACUCCAUGUUCUCUGGAAAUACCAUUUCUACUAAGAGAGCUUCACAUAUUGCUCACUGAUUAAUUGC